GAAGAACGAUGGCGGCGUGCCUAAUAGAUGAAAGUAGAACGCCGAAGGAGGAGCGUGCUUCAAUGGUAGAGUUACGAACGGGUGAGUAACGCGUAGGUAACCUGCCGGGUAGAGGGGGACAACUAUUGGAAACGAUAGCUAAUAACGCAUAACAUUGACUAUAGCAUGAUAGUACGAUGACAGGUGUAACUGCACCACUACCAGACGGAUCUGCGUUGUAUUAGCUAGUAGGUGGGGUAACGGCUCACAAAGGCGACGAUACAUAGCCGACCUGGGAGGGUGAUCGGCCACACUGGGACUGAGACACGGCCCAGACUCCUACGGGAGGCAGCAGUAGGGAAUCUUCGGCAAUGGACGGAAGUCUGACCGAGCAACGCCGCGUGAGUGAAGAAGGUUUUCGGAUCGUAAAGCUCUGUUGUAAGAGAAGAACGAGUGUGAGAGUGGAAAGCUCACACUGUGACGGUAUCUUACCAGAAAGGGACGGCUAACUACGUG
This 495-nucleotide ribosomal RNA is filed under the name uncultured bacterium. RNAcentral describes it as "partial 16S ribosomal RNA". It matches the Rfam family "Bacterial small subunit ribosomal RNA", at positions 31 to 507 of the family's 1533-position model. The record is from RNAcentral.